AGAUGAAACAAGAGACUUCUAAUCUCAACACAGCAUUAUUAUGCUUCAUCUU
Molecule: transfer RNA, 52 nt
Filed under: Bahadzia jaraguensis
Lineage: Eukaryota; Metazoa; Arthropoda; Malacostraca; Amphipoda; Hadziidae
Description: transfer RNA Serine
Source: RNAcentral